Molecule: long non-coding RNA, 239 nt
Filed under: Capsicum annuum
Lineage: Eukaryota; Viridiplantae; Streptophyta; Magnoliopsida; Solanales; Solanaceae
Description: long non-coding RNA (CANN_LNC007728)
Source: RNAcentral
GGCCCAUCUAUAAGAGAUAUGGCCAAUUAACUUCCUAUAGAAUUGGUAUUUAUGUAAGUUAUUAGAAGAUUUAUAAGGUCAUGGAGAUUUCAAAGUCUUUAGUUAGGGAAACACAUGAGGACGGGUAUAAUGUGGUUGAUGCAUACAAUUUAUAUGCUUGAGUCCGCAAAUCCAAAAAGUAAGACGGUAUUGGAAGUUAAUAAUAAUAGAAGGUUAAAGUACUUUUUUGUCGAUGCGGC